CUAAAGCAGGAACUUUGGCUGUUCUCUCCCCUUACUGGAGGGCAUGGCUAAUCCACUGGUGGAUCUUCAGCAAUGGAUUCACCAGCUCUACAGGCAGAAGACCUUCAGCCUACUCCCACUGUACUCUGGGCCCUGCUGAGACAUUAAGACAUUAAGAGUAGAACUCUGCUGCUGCUCCCUUCUUAACACAAGAAACAAGGGUCAAGACACAGGAUGAAGUCUUUGGUUCUGGCUGAUAAAAAUGAGCUGCAUGGGUAGAGAGUUCAGGAGAGCAAAGGAGAUGGAUUGCAGAUUGUGAACCUCAGCAAACAACACUUUUCCUCUUUGUUCAUGAAAAUUCAAGAGGUUGCAAAGCAAUGUUACACUGGACAACA
Long non-coding RNA from Pipra filicauda (Wire-tailed manakin), 374 nucleotides. RefSeq lists it as uncharacterized. The record is from RefSeq and is a predicted model, not a curated record. NCBI's taxonomy places the organism in Eukaryota, Metazoa, Chordata, Aves, Passeriformes, Pipridae. The transcript is spliced from 2 exons.